AGGAUGAUAAUGAAAUAUAUACGAGGAGCAAGCAAGUAAGAGAGAGCCAGUCGCACGCAGUCUUUCCUUUCUUCUUAUUACUAGUGCAAGUCAAGUGGUGGUGGUUUGUUCGUGUUUAGUAGUUGGUUCGUAUUAUAGUGGGAUGGCAGACAGAGUUGCUUGCUGGCUGGCUAAAAAAUAACGUCCUCCAUAUCCAGCUCAUAGAAAUCGAGGCGUAUUAUAAACCCAACAACACACACCCGUGUGUACGAGAAAAGAAGAUGGUUUUUGAUAGAGACGGAGAGAGAUGACAAAGAUGUUUUUUGUUUGAUGACAGAAGAAAGAUAUAUAUGAGUUGCGCUAAUGAAGCGUAAAUGAUUUAUAAGAAGAGUUGUUUGGAUUUCCGGUUAAUUGUUUAAUUUAUGCCGAGUCUAGAUUAAGGUAGGGUGAAGAUUGGUGAUUAAGAAUUCUUUGGAAAAUGUUGAAUGCUAAUGAGUAUGAAUAAAGGAUUAGACAUAA
Folsomia candida is the source of this 498-nucleotide long non-coding RNA. RefSeq lists it as uncharacterized. The record is from RefSeq and is a predicted model, not a curated record. Lineage: Eukaryota; Metazoa; Arthropoda; Collembola; Entomobryomorpha; Isotomidae. The transcript has 2 exons.